AUGAAACUGUUAAGUUGGAACUGUCGGGGGCUUGGGAAUGCCCCGGCAGUUCGUGCUUUGCUGGACGUCCAGCGAAGUUGUAGCCCAGAUGUGAUGUUUUUGUCGGAGACACACCUAGAAAGCUAUCCGGUUGAAUGUUUGAGGAGAAGACUGAAAAUGAAUCAUAAAAUAGUUUGUCCAGGUGAUAGUAGAAAGGGAGGCCUGUUGAUGCUAUGGAAAAAGGAAAUAAAGAUA
Molecule: ribosomal RNA, 234 nt
Filed under: Triticum aestivum (bread wheat)
Lineage: Eukaryota; Viridiplantae; Streptophyta; Magnoliopsida; Poales; Poaceae
Description: partial small subunit ribosomal RNA
Source: RNAcentral